RNAcentral lists this ribosomal RNA (441 nucleotides) under uncultured fungus. Its description in RNAcentral is "eukaryotic LSU rRNA". It matches the Rfam family "Eukaryotic large subunit ribosomal RNA", at positions 1 to 432 of the family's 3401-position model. Lineage: Eukaryota; Fungi. The record is from RNAcentral.
GACCUCAAAUCAGGUAGGACUACCCGCUGAACUUAAGCAUAUCAAUAAGCGGAGGAAAAGAAACUAACCAGGAUUCCCCUAGUAACGGCGAGUGAAGAGGGAAAAGCUCAAAUUUAAAAUCUGGCGGUCUCCUUUGAUCGUCCGAGUUGUAAAUUAGAGAAGUGUUAUCCGCGCUGGACCGUGCAAAAGUCUCUUGGAAAGGAGCAUCAUAGAGGGUGACAAUCCCGUCUUUGGCACGGACUACCAGGGCAUUUGUGAUGCGCUCUCGAAGAGUCGAGUUGUUUGGGAAUGCAGCUCUAAAUGGGUGGUAAAUUCCAUCUAAAGCUAAAUAUUGGCGAGAGACCGAUAGCGCACAAGUACCGUGAGGGAAAGAUGAAAAGGACUUUGAAAAGAGAGUUAAACAGUACGUGAAAUUGUUGAAAGGGAAACGCUUGAAGUCAG